This 1262-nucleotide ribosomal RNA is filed under the name metagenome. Its description in RNAcentral is "bacterial SSU rRNA". It matches the Rfam family "Bacterial small subunit ribosomal RNA", at positions 243 to 1520 of the family's 1533-position model. The record is from RNAcentral.
AGCUAGUUGGUGGGGUAAUGGCCCACCAAGGCGACGAUCAGUAGCUGGUCUGAGAGGAUGAUCAGCCACACAGGGACUGAGACACGGCCCAGACUCCUACGGGAGGCAGCAGUGGGGAAUUUUCCGCAAUGGGCGAAAGCCUGACGGAGCAACGCCGCGUGAGGGAUGAAGGCCUCUGGGCUGUAAACCUCUUUUCUCAAGGAAGAAGACAUGACGGUACUUGAGGAAUAAGCCACGGCUAAUUCCGUGCCAGCAGCCGCGGUAAUACGGGAGUGGCAAGCGUUAUCCGGAAUUAUUGGGCGUAAAGCGUCCGCAGGCGGCCUUGUAAGUCUGUCGUUAAAGCGUGGAGCUUAACUCCAUUUAAGCGAUGGAAACUACAAGGCUUGAGUGUGGUAGGGGCAGAGGGAAUUCCCGGUGUAGCGGUGAAAUGCGUAGAUAUCGGGAAGAACACCAGUGGCGAAGGCGCUCUGCUGGGCCAUAACUGACGCUCAUGGACGAAAGCCAGGGGAGCGAAAGGGAUUAGAUACCCCUGUAGUCCUGGCCGUAAACGAUGAACACUAGGUGUCGGGGGAAUCGACCCCCUCGGUGUCGUAGCUAACGCGUUAAGUGUUCCGCCUGGGGAGUACGCACGCAAGUGUGAAACUCAAAGGAAUUGACGGGGGCCCGCACAAGCGGUGGAGUAUGUGGUUUAAUUCGAUGCAACGCGAAGAACCUUACCAGGGUUUGACAUCCUGCAAAUCCCUUGGAAACUUGGGAGUGCCUUCGGGAGCGCAGAGACAGGUGGUGCAUGGCUGUCGUCAGUUCGUGUCGUGAGAUGUUGGGUUAAGUCCCGCAACGAGCGCAACCCACGUCUUUAGUUGCCAGCAUUCAGUUGGGCACUCUAGAGAGACCGCCGGUGAUAAACCGGAGGAAGGUGUGGAUGACGUCAAGUCAUCAUGCCCCUUACAUCCUGGGCUACACACGUACUACAAUGCUACGGACAAAGGGCAGCAAGCUCGCGAGAGUUAGCAAAUCCCAUAAACCGUGGCUCAGUUCAGAUCGUAGGCUGCAACUCGCCUACGUGAAGGAGGAAUCGCUAGUAAUCGCAGGUCAGCAUACUGCGGUGAAUACGUUCCCGGGCCUUGUACACACCGCCCGUCACACCAUGGAAGUUGGCCAUGCCCGGAGUCGUUACUCCAACCCUUGUGGAGGAGGACGCCGAAGGUGGGGCUGAUGACUGGGGUGAAGUCGUAACAAGGUAGCCGUACCGGAAGGUGCGGCUG